This 500-nucleotide ribosomal RNA is filed under the name uncultured bacterium. Its description in RNAcentral is "partial 16S ribosomal RNA". It matches the Rfam family "Bacterial small subunit ribosomal RNA", at positions 29 to 523 of the family's 1533-position model. The record is from RNAcentral.
AUUGAGCGCUGGCGGCAUGCCUUACACAUGCAAGUCGAACGGCUGCACGGGAGCAAUCCUGGUGGCGAGUGGCGAACGGGUGAGUAAAGUAUCGGAACGUGCCCAGUCGUGGGGGAUAACGUAGCGAAAGUUACGCUAAUACCGCAUACGAUCUAUGGAUGAAAGCGGGGGAUCGCAAGACCUCGCGCGAUUGGAGCGGCCGAUAUCAGAUUAGGUAGUUGGUGGGGUAAAGGCUCACCAAGCCGACGAUCUGUAGCUGGUCUGAGAGGACGACCAGCGAGGCUGGGGCUGAGACACGGAGCAGACUCCUGCGGGAGGCAGCGGUGGGGAAGUUUGGACAUUGGGCGGAAGCCUGAUCCAGCCAUGCCGCGUGCAGGAUGAAGGCCUUCGGGUUGUAAACUGCUUUUGUACGGAACGAAAAGGUUUGGCCUAAUAAGCUGAGCUCAUGACGGUACCGUAAGAAUAAGCACCGGCUAACUACGUGCCAGCAGCCGCCGUAA